GGAAUUUUGGGCAAUGGGCGAAAGCCUGACCCAGCAACGCCGCGUGAGGGAUGAAGGCCUUCGGGUCGUAAACCUCUGUCGGGAGGGACGAAAGGCGCGCGGGUGAACAAUCCGCGUACUUGACGGUACCUCCUAAGGAAGCGCCGGCUAACUCCGUGCCAGCAGCCGCGGUAAUACGGAGGGCGCAAGCGUUGUUCGGAAUUACUGGGCGUAAAGCGCGUGUAGGCGGCCAGGUAAGUCGGAUGUGAAAGCCCGGGGCCCAACCCCGGAACUGCACCCGAUACUGCCUGGCUGGAGUCCCGGAGAGGAUGGCGGAAUUUCCGGUGUAGAGGUGAAAUUCGUAGAUAUCGGAAGGAACACCAGUGGCGAAGGCGGCCAUCUGGACGGUGACUGACGCUGAGACGCGAAAGCGUGGGGAGCAAACAGGA
RNAcentral lists this unclassified non-coding RNA (428 nucleotides) under plant metagenome. RNAcentral's name for it is "partial contains 5.8S ribosomal RNA, internal transcribed spacer 2, and large subunit ribosomal RNA". It matches the Rfam family "Bacterial small subunit ribosomal RNA", at positions 358 to 777 of the family's 1533-position model. The record is from RNAcentral.